RNAcentral lists this long non-coding RNA (221 nucleotides) under Glycine max (soybean). Its description in RNAcentral is "long non-coding RNA (GMAX_LNC004596)". The record is from RNAcentral. Lineage: Eukaryota; Viridiplantae; Streptophyta; Magnoliopsida; Fabales; Fabaceae.
GAACAUUGAAGGGAAAAAUAGGAGUUCGGUAAUACAUUCAUUUUUUUUUUUUUUACCAAAACGUGAAAAACUACGGUUAUUAUUAGACAACAAUGUGAUUAACCACUGGCAUUGGGCGUGUUAGAUUCACUUUCCAGUUUCUCAGUCAAGGAAUUCGGUGAAGUUAGUAGCUUAUUAUUCAUUAAAAUUCCAACUUGACCCGAGUGCUGUGAAGCUGGUUG